UACGUAGGGCGCAAGCGUUGUCCGGAAUUAUUGGGCGUAAAGAGCUCGUAGGCGGUCUGUUACGUCCGCUGUGAAAACCCAGGGCUUAACCCUGGGCUUGCAGUGGAUACGGGUAGACUAGAGGCAGGUAGGGGAGAAUGGAAUUCCCGGUGUAGCGGUGAAAUGCGCAGAUAUCAGGAAGAACACCCGUGGCGAAGGCGGCUCUCUGGUACGUGACUGACGCUGAGACGCGAAAGCGUGGGGAGCAAACAGG
This 253-nucleotide ribosomal RNA is filed under the name uncultured bacterium. RNAcentral's name for it is "partial 16S ribosomal RNA". It matches the Rfam family "Bacterial small subunit ribosomal RNA", at positions 524 to 776 of the family's 1533-position model. The record is from RNAcentral.